GUGCACGCUGGCGGUAGGCCUAACACAUGCAAGUCGAACGGCAGCACCGUAAGAGCUUGCUCUUACGGGUGGCGAGUGGCGGACGGGUGAGGAAUACAUCGGAAUCUACUUUUUCGUGGGGGAUAACGUAGGGAAACUUACGCUAAUACCGCAUACGACCUACGGGUGAAAGCAGGGGAUCUUCGGACCUUGCGCGAUUGAAUGAGCCGAUGUCGGAUUAGCUAGUUGGCGGGGUAAAGGCCCACCAAGGCGACGAUCCGUAGCUGGUCUGAGAGGAUGAUCAGCCACACUGGAACUGAGACACGGUCCAGACUCCUACGGGAGGCAGCAGUGGGGAAUAUUGGACAAUGGGCGCAAGCCUGAUCCAGCCAUACCGCGUGGGUGAAGAAGGCCUUCGGGUUGUAAAGCCCUUUUGUUGGGAAAGAAAAGCAGCAGGUUAAUACCCCGCUGUUCUGACGGUACCCAAAGAAUAAGCACCGGCUAACUUCGUG
RNAcentral lists this ribosomal RNA (491 nucleotides) under uncultured bacterium. RNAcentral describes it as "partial 16S ribosomal RNA". It matches the Rfam family "Bacterial small subunit ribosomal RNA", at positions 29 to 507 of the family's 1533-position model. The record is from RNAcentral.